This 323-nucleotide ribosomal RNA is filed under the name Planctomycetaceae bacterium. Its description in RNAcentral is "bacterial SSU rRNA". It matches the Rfam family "Bacterial small subunit ribosomal RNA", at positions 1 to 325 of the family's 1533-position model. The record is from RNAcentral. Lineage: Bacteria; Pseudomonadati; Planctomycetota; Planctomycetia; Planctomycetales; Planctomycetaceae.
UGAAGGGUUUGAUCCUGGCUCAGAAUGAACGUUGGCGGCAUGGAUUAGGCAUGCAAGUCGAGCGAGAAGCUUUAGUUUGACGCUUCGGUUGAUUUCUAAAGUGGACAGCGGCGCAAGGGAGAGUAACGCGUAGUUAUCUACCCCGGGGUCCGGAAUAGCUGAGGGAAACUUCAGGUAAUACCGGAUGAUAUCUUCGGAUCAAAGGUGUGAUUCCGCCCUGGGAGGGGACUGCGUACUACUAGCUUGUUGGUAGGGUAAUGGCCUACCAAGGCUUUGAUCAAUAGCUGAUUUGAGAGGAUGAUCAGCCACAUUGGGACUGAGAC